This 253-nucleotide ribosomal RNA is filed under the name uncultured bacterium. RNAcentral's name for it is "partial 16S ribosomal RNA". It matches the Rfam family "Bacterial small subunit ribosomal RNA", at positions 524 to 776 of the family's 1533-position model. The record is from RNAcentral.
UACGUAGGGCGCAAGCGUUGUCCGGAAUUAUUGGGCGUAAAGAGCUCGUAGGCGGUUUGUCGCGUCUGCUGUGAAAACUCGGGGCUCAACUCCGAGCUUGCAGUGGGUACGGGCAGACUAGAGUGCGGUAGGGGAGACUGGAAUUCCUGAUGUAGCGGUGGAAUGCGCAGAUAUCAGGAGGAACACCGGUGGCGAAGGCGGGUCUCUGGGCCGUAACUGACGCUGAGGAGCGAAAGCAUGGGGAGCGAACAGG